RNAcentral lists this microRNA precursor (60 nucleotides) under Sorex araneus (European shrew). RNAcentral's name for it is "miRNA (ENSSARG00000020046.1)". The record is from RNAcentral. Lineage: Eukaryota; Metazoa; Chordata; Mammalia; Eulipotyphla; Soricidae.
CAAGCUCUGCGGCGCAGCGCGGGCACCGCCCCUUCCGCCCCAGCGGGCGUCGCACGCGGC